RNAcentral lists this transfer RNA (75 nucleotides) under Candidatus Yanofskybacteria bacterium RIFCSPHIGHO2_01_FULL_41_26. RNAcentral describes it as "tRNA-Ile". It matches the Rfam family "tRNA". Rfam says of the family: Transfer RNA (tRNA) molecules are approximately 80 nucleotides in length. Their secondary structure includes four short double-helical elements and three loops (D, anti-codon, and T loops). RNAcentral also lists the same sequence under 1 other name. The record is from RNAcentral. Lineage: Bacteria; Candidatus Yanofskyibacteriota.
GGGCGUGUAGCUCAGUGGUAGAGCACGGUACUUAUAAUACCGGGGUCGGAGGCUCGAUCCCUCCCACGCCCACCA